CGCUGAGCUGCCGAUCCAGCACUGACUCACAUGUGAACCUCAUCCACAUCUCAUCUACCGGAGCACUUUGCAACCAGAAAGUCUGACAACACCCCUGUGAGUGAUCACAAGACGAUGUGCAGCAUAUUCAAUACUUAUCUUUUUCUUCUGUUGGUUGAAAUUGUCAAUGAUGACACCAAUGAAGAGGUUCAGUGUGAAGAAAGACCCGAAGAUGAUGAAAAUCACAAAGUACAGGUACAUGUAUAAAUUACAUUCCCAUUCAGGCUGCUCCUCACACUGCACAGGGAAAAGGGAAGACAUGAAAAUGAC
This 309-nucleotide long non-coding RNA is filed under the name Gallus gallus (chicken). Lineage: Eukaryota; Metazoa; Chordata; Aves; Galliformes; Phasianidae. The record is from RNAcentral.